GCCCACGGUGGGAGGUUGGGAAGGACAUUCCCCCAUUUCCAUUUGCUCUGCCAUUCAAAACCUUGUGAGGGCCCUCAGGGAAGAAUCCCUUUGCAGAUGAGGAAACUGAGGCCCCACGUGGUGAAGUGGCAGAUCUGAUUCUAGAGCCCAGGUGCCCUCAGUGUCAGCCCCUGUCAUUCUGACCAUGCUGCACUCAGAUCUUGUUCUACUCUCUGGAGUUUGUCCACAUCACAGUUUUCUGGUAGCUCAUCGACAAUUUUUACCCGAAUCCACCCACAAGAAGAGACCAUUUGGAUAAUGUACAUUAUGGGAAGAGAACGGAGUCUCAGUGAAGAUCAUGUUUCCCCAGCAACACAGGUGCCAGGAGUAGCUGGCUCUGGUCCCAGCCCAGACUCAGAAAUCCUGAGCCACCAGACCAUUUCUAGAUUAACAAUGACCCACUGGAAACCAGUGUCAGCAUAACAACAGUUACGAGAGCUAAACCUACAAAAUAGAAACACAAGUAAAACUUGUUCAAGUGGUUUGCAGUCAUUGAACAUAGAUCAGCUCCUAUGAAAACAAACUCCAUGGGACCAGCCUUUUGAGUGCUUCAGUGAGAGAUUUUAUGCAGAAUCGCAGCCAAGACAAAAAGACAAUCUGAGAGCAGGC
Molecule: long non-coding RNA, 648 nt
Organism: Gorilla gorilla gorilla (western lowland gorilla)
Lineage: Eukaryota; Metazoa; Chordata; Mammalia; Primates; Hominidae
Exons: 5
Source: RefSeq, a predicted model, not a curated record